GAUUACUUGUCUCGCUACUGAAUUUUCUUUAUAUAUUUUUUUCUAAGUACGUAUAAAAUUAUAGACUUGAGCUUUCCUUUUUCAUACACAAACUAAUCAUUAUAAAACCCAAUAAUGAUCCCCGAGGGAAAAACCACAUGGAGUAGAAGGCUUGGACGUGGACUGAGGUGUCGGACAGCAGGACAUGGUUCCGGGACUUUGCAGAUGAUUCUCUUGGGGGUCUGUAAAAGUUUCUAGAAGAAAAGGUUGGAAAGAAGCAUUAAUCUUGAAAUACAAUGGUGUGGAGCACAGCAAAGAGCUUUCUGGGGUCGGAAUGGAUAAAAUAAUGGAGAAAUGAUAAAAAACUGGAAGAUAUACUGUUGGAGAAGAGGAUCAGGAGUUAUGAGGCGAGAAGGAACAGAGGUUACUACAGUGAGUCUCCAACUUAGGAAUGAGUUCCGUUCUGGGAAAAUGUUCAUAAGUUGGAUUCAUCUGUAAGUCUAACAAACUGUGCCCAGCUUCCUUCCAGCCAUAAUCUGACUCAGGGUAUGGCCUUUAUGAGAAAUCAGGGGCUUUGAGAAACUCUCCUUUCAUGUGUCAGUGGUCAGCUUCAGCAAAAGGAAAGCCAAGGGGGUGUGGUUGCUCCCUGCUGUUUAGACUCUUCAGCCAUCAGAUCUGUACCUUCAGGUCAAGGAACAAUUCGUCUUUGGAAGAUGGAAGUACUCAGGAUAAUUAAAUGACUUUCUUCCUAGCAAUGGAGAUCUUGUUUAUUUGAGCAAAUCAGUGAAAAAAUUAUUUUACCAUGGGCUUACAAGAGGCUGGGAGUAUUUCUCUCACUAAUCCUGAAAUAACAGAGAGCUUUCAUUUCUCAUCACAGAGUAGAUUUGGUGGUGGUUUUUACCUCUUUCAACUCACCUGCUGCAGGUGAGUUUAGUCUAUCCAGGGCCAAGAAGAAGAUAUGGACGUGGUCAGGAAACGACUGGACUUGGUCCUCCUCACUGAAGAAGGGGUUAUCUGACAGUGGUUACCCACCUGCAUCAGCUGAGGAUCUUGGGAAACCGGGUACUCCAGAACCAUGGACUCAUGAGGGGUGGCUCCCAGGCAUGAGCAUUGCUUAAAAAUGUUCUUGGACAAUUCUAAUGUGCAGCCAGGGUUGAGAACUGCUAGAAACCCCUUCUGUUGGAGAGCAAGGUAACUAAGUUAAUAGUUACCAAAGAGUGAAUGGCUUACAGCAUUAUUCCCAUUUUCCAAAUCAGUAUCUAAUGGAGAUUCUGGUCAGGUGACGAAGUGUAGUGAGUUCUAUCUCAUCUGGCUCAGACAACUGCUGUGCUUAGUGGGCCUUGUUUAAGCUUCCUCUUCCUAAAAUUAGAUGUAUUAAACACUUGCCUGAUACCUAUAGAUGAGUAGAUGAUUUGUAAAACUGAAUUUUGUACAAGUGUAAAUAUGUUGAUUGUGUAUCUAUCUGUGUCAUUAGAGCUAUGCCAUGGUGGCAAAAAUGAAAGACUCUAAAACAAUGAGGAAGGCUAUUAGAAUAUUUGAGGCCUUAUUGUUUUUUAGAGGUACUUUUUUGACCAAUAUAGAAAGGGUUGGAUAUAAAGUUGUUCAGCUAUUGCUUAUAUUUUCUAGUUACCUACCAUACAUCUUCCUAGUUAUUAAACUUUCU
This 1642-nucleotide long non-coding RNA is filed under the name Heterocephalus glaber (naked mole-rat). Its description in RNAcentral is "lncRNA (ENSHGLG00100051801.1)". Lineage: Eukaryota; Metazoa; Chordata; Mammalia; Rodentia; Bathyergidae. The record is from RNAcentral.